UUAGAAGAACAGGACUCGAACCCGCACCUGAGACCCCAAAACUCUCUGUACUACCCAUAUACUACCUUCCA
Molecule: transfer RNA, 71 nt
Filed under: Eremias przewalskii
Lineage: Eukaryota; Metazoa; Chordata; Lepidosauria; Squamata; Lacertidae
Description: tRNA-Gln
Source: RNAcentral